Molecule: ribosomal RNA, 448 nt
Filed under: uncultured bacterium
Lineage: Bacteria
Description: bacterial SSU rRNA
Rfam family: Bacterial small subunit ribosomal RNA
Source: RNAcentral
AACGAACGCUGGCGGCAGGCCUAACACAUGCAAGUCGAACGCCCCGCAAGGGGAGUGGCAGACGGGUGAGUAACGCGUGGGAACCUUCCCUGUGGUACGGAAUAACUGACCGAAAGGUUAGCUAAUACCGUAUACGUCCGAGAGGAGAAAGAUUUAUCACCAUAGGAUGGGCCCGCGUCGGAUUAGCUAGUUGGUGAGGUAAUGGCUCACCAAGGCGACGAUCCGUAGCUGGUCUGAGAGGAUGAUCAGCCACACUGGGACUGAGACACGGCCCAGACUCCUACGGGAGGCAGCAGUGGGGAAUAUUGGACAAUGGGCGCAAGCCUGAUCCAGCCAUGCCGCGUGAGUGAUGAAGGUCUUCGGAUUGUAAAACUCUUUCGCCGGGGAAGAUAAUGACGGUACCCGGAGAAGAAGCUCCGGCUAACUUCGUGCCAGCAGCCGCGGUAAU